GCCCUGGUGGUGGAAUUGGUAGACACGCAGGACUUAAAAUCCUGUUUGCAGCAAUGCGAGUAUCGGUUCAACUCCGAUCCAGGCA
Molecule: transfer RNA, 85 nt
Filed under: Chitinophagaceae bacterium
Lineage: Bacteria; Pseudomonadati; Bacteroidota; Chitinophagia; Chitinophagales; Chitinophagaceae
Description: tRNA-Leu
Rfam family: tRNA
About the family: Transfer RNA (tRNA) molecules are approximately 80 nucleotides in length. Their secondary structure includes four short double-helical elements and three loops (D, anti-codon, and T loops).
Source: RNAcentral